RNAcentral lists this ribosomal RNA (253 nucleotides) under uncultured bacterium. Its description in RNAcentral is "partial 16S ribosomal RNA". It matches the Rfam family "Bacterial small subunit ribosomal RNA", at positions 524 to 776 of the family's 1533-position model. The record is from RNAcentral.
UACGAAGGGGGCUAGCGUUGCUCGGAAUCACUGGGCGUAAAGGGCGCGUAGGCGGCGUGUCAAGUCAGGCGUGAAAGCCCCGGGCUCAACCUGGGAACCGCGCUUGAGACUGGCAUGCUCGAGUUCGGGAGAGGAUGGUGGAAUUCCCAGUGUAGAGGUGAAAUUCGUAGAUAUUGGGAAGAACACCGAUGGCGAAGGCAGCCAUCUGGACCGACACUGACGCUGAGGCGCGAAAGCUAGGGGAGCGAAUGGG